Molecule: ribosomal RNA, 497 nt
Filed under: uncultured bacterium
Lineage: Bacteria
Description: partial 16S ribosomal RNA
Rfam family: Bacterial small subunit ribosomal RNA
Source: RNAcentral
GAUGAACGCUGGCGGCGUGCCUAAUACAUGCAAGUCGAGCGAACGGACGAGAAGCUUGCUCCUCUGAUGUUAGCGGCGGACGGGUGAGUAACACGUGGAUAACCUACCUAUAAGACUGGGAUAACUUCGGGAAACCGGAGCUAAUACCGGAUAAUAUUUUGAACCGCAUGGUUCAAUAGUGAAAGACGGUUUUGCUGUCACUUAUAGAUGGAUCCGCGCUGCAUUAGCUAGUUGGUAAGGUAACGGCUUACCAAGGCAACGAUGCGUAGCCGACCUGAGAGGGUGAUCGGCCACACUGGAACUGAGACACGGUCCAGACUCCUACGGGAGGCAGCAGUAGGGAAUCUUCCGCAAUGGGCGAAAGCCUGACGGAGCAACGCCGCGUGAGUGAUGAAGGUCUUCGGAUCGUAAAACUCUGUUAUUAGGGAAGAACAUAUGUGUAAGUAACUAUGCACAUCUUGACGGUACCUAAUCAGAAAGCCACGGCUAACUACGUG